Molecule: ribosomal RNA, 465 nt
Filed under: uncultured bacterium
Lineage: Bacteria
Description: partial 16S ribosomal RNA
Rfam family: Bacterial small subunit ribosomal RNA
Source: RNAcentral
CCUACGGGUGGCAGCAGUAGGGAAUCUUCGUCAAUGGGCGCAAGCCUGAACGAGCGAUGCCGCGUGAGUGAAGAAGGCCUUCGGGUCGUAAAGCUCUGUUGCGGGGGAAAAAAGGCAGCAUCAGGAAAUGGGUGCUGACUGAUGGUGCCCCGCCAGAAAGUCACGGCUAACUACGUGCCAGCAGCCGCGGUAAUACGUAGGUGGCGAGCGUUAUCCGGAAUGGUUGGGCGGAAAGGGUGCGCGGGCGGUCCUGCAAGUCUGGAGUGAAAAGGAUGGGCUGAACCCAUGCAUGGCUUUGGAAACUGGAGGACUGGAGAGCAGGAGAGGGCGGUGGAACGCGAAGGGUAGCGGUAAAAUGCGUAGAUAUAUGGAAGAACACCAGUGGCGAAGGCGGCCGCCUGGCCUGUUGCUGACGCUGAGGCACGAAAGCGUGGGGAGCAAAUAGGAUUAGAUACCCUUGUAGUC